This is an RNA transcript of Mus musculus (house mouse), 3536 nucleotides long. It is a transcript of the gene named serine protease 36, with no coding region annotated. NCBI's taxonomy places the organism in Eukaryota, Metazoa, Chordata, Mammalia, Rodentia, Muridae. The record is from RefSeq and is marked validated. The transcript has 13 exons.
AACAGGUGUCCUGGAGUGAGGACACCGCCCUACCUCCACUCUGAGCCUCCAGAUAUGUGAGAUGCACCAGAAUUCAGGGUGGGGCCUUUGACCUCCCUAUUUUCCCCUUUCAGGCCCAGAUCCUCUCAGAUUCCCACAGAUGGGCUCCAGCCAGGGAGGGUGGGGCUACCCCUGGGACCAUCAGGAGGAACCAGCUACAUAGUCCGGUGACAGAGUGGUGGCAGGAAGCAGCCUCUCACCUGCCUCUGUGCCUCCAGCUGACUUUAGUAGACCAUGUCCCAUCACCUGUUUCUCCCAGUUGUAAUCAUGGUGGUCAGUCCCAUCCCUCCAGGAGCCUUCCAGGACUCAGUGGUCAGUCCUACCCAAGGAGAAUUUGAAGACCUAGACUGCGGCCGCCCUGAGCCCUCUUCCCGCAUUGUGGGGGGCUCGGACGCUCAUCCUGGCACUUGGCCAUGGCAGGUGAGCCUGCAUCAAGGUGGGGGCCACAUCUGCGGGGGCUCCCUCAUCGCCCCUUCCUGGGUCCUCUCCGCUGCUCACUGUUUCGUGACGUGAGUAUAGUCUUUGUCCAGGUUCUCUCCUAUAGCUAACCCUGCGCAGCAGCUCAACCUUCCCUGCUUAUCCUUCCUGCCUGGCAAUGCCACGCUGUCCAGGCUGAAUACCCUAGAAUAGAAAUCUUUCCAACGCUCCCACUGACAUCUCCAAGUCCUAUUUGACCCUUUCGACUUCCACGGUGAAAAAUCUGGAUUCGCUCUCUCGCUGGGUUCCUACUGACCCUAGCUCCCCGUUGGCUCUGAGUCCCCAGUCCCAAGGACUGACUCCGUAGGGCCAACCUAGUCCCCUUCUCUCCCCGGCACUGGAGCAGGAAUGGAACCUUGGAGCCCGCGGACGAAUUGUCAGUUCUGCUGGGCGUGCACUCCCAGGACGGGCCCCUGGAAGGAGCGCACAUGCGCUCAGUGGCCACCAUCCUGAUACCGGACAACUACAGCACAGUGGAACUGGGCGCAGACUUGGCUCUGCUGCGCCUGGCCUCGCCAGCCAAGCUGGGCCCCUCUGUGCGGCCGGUCUGCCUGCCUCGUGCCUCGCACCUCUUCGCUCACGGAACUGCCUGCUGGGCCACUGGUUGGGGGGACGUCCAGGAGGCUGUCCCUCUGCCUCUGCCCUGGGUUCUACAGGAAGUGGAGCUAAGGUUGCUGGGAGAGGCUGCCUGUCAAUGUCUCUACAGCCGUCCUGGCCCUUUCAACCUGACUUUCCAGCUGUUGCCAGGGAUGUUGUGUGCUGGCUAUCCAGCGGGACGAAGGGAUACCUGCCAGGGUGACUCUGGGGGACCGCUGGUCUGUGAGGACGGAGGCCGAUGGUUCCUGGCCGGAAUCACCAGCUUUGGCUUUGGCUGUGGACGGAGGAACCGCCCUGGGGUCUUCACUGCAGUGGCUCCCUAUGAGUCGUGGAUUCGGGAACACGUGAUGGGUUCAGAACCUGGGCCUGUCUUUCCCAGCCAGCUCCAGAAGCCACAGUCAGGACCCUGGGAGCCCAGAGAAGAAAACUGUACCUUUGCUCAACCAGAGUGCGGGAAGGCUCCGAGGCCGGGGACCUGGCCCUGGGAGGCCCAAGUGACCGUACCAGGCUCCACACCCUGCUAUGGAGCUCUGGUGUCUGACAGAUGGGUCUUGGCACCCGCCAGCUGCUUUCUGGACUCACCCCACGAUUUUGAGACCUGGCGGGUGCUGCUGCCCUCCCGUCCGGAGGAGGAGAGGGUGGCGCGCCUCGUGGCGCACGAGAACGCUUCCAGGGACUUCGCUUCGGACCUGGCGCUGCUGCAGCUGAGGACGCGCGUGAACCUGACCGCGGCCCCGAGUGCCGUGUGCCUGCCCCACCACGAACACUAUUUUCUGCCCGGGAGCCACUGCCGCCUGGCUCGCUGGGGACGCGGGGGUGCGCGUGGCCGCGCGGGGCCAAGGACUGGGUGGGAUGGGCGGAGCGGAACCCACGCGGGCGGCCGCAUUGACCCCUCGCUGCUCAUCUCUCUCCCAGAACUCGCCCCGGGCUCCAGCGCGCAGCUGGAGGCGCAGCUGUUGAACGGCUGGUGGUGUCAUUGCCUGUACGGCCGCCAGGGGGAGACCGUGCCGCGGCCAGGAGACCCGCCGCACUUGCUUUGUCCCGCCUACCAGGAGGAGGAAGAGGCGGGCCUAUGUUGGGUGAGCAGCAGGAACUCGUUGCAGAAAUCUCGUCCGGACCAGGACCCAGCUGGAGGUGGGAGGAGCUAGAACGGAGCGGGGCGUUCUGGCCUCCGCAUGAAAGAUUCCAGUUGGAGCCUUCUGUGCCGUGAGGAGGGGACCUGGUUCCUGGCAGGAUACAGAACCCUCUCAGAUGGUUGUCUCCGACCCCGAGCCUUUUCCCCAAUGCAGACUCAUGGUCCGUGGAUCCGUCAUGUGACUCAGGGAGCUUACCUGGAGGACCAGCUAACCUGGGACUGGGGCCCUGAAGGGGAGGAGACCGAGAAACAGACUUGUCCCACACAUACUGAGCACGGUGCCUGUGGCCUAAGGCCAAAAUCCACUCCAGCUGGUGUGUUGUGGCCCUGGCUGACGGAGGUGCAUGUGACUGGUGAUAGAGUCUGCACUGGGAUUCUGGUGGCCCCAGGCUGGGUCCUAGCAGCCACUCACUGUAUUCUCAGGCUGGGCUCUACAACAGUGCCCUACAUUGAAGUAUAUCUUGGCCGGGCAGGGGUCAGCUCCCUCCCACAGGGCCACCAGGUAUCUCGGUCUGUCGUCAGCAUCCGUCUGCCCCGGCACUUAGGACUUAGACCCCCCCUGGCUCUACUGGAGCUGAACUCUCGGGUGGAGCCCUCCCCAUCAGCUCUUCCCAUCUGCCUACACCCAGGGGGUAUUCCUUCAGGGGCCAGCUGCUGGGUUUUGGGCUGGAAGAACCCACAGGACAGAGUUCCUGUAGUUGCUGCUGUCUCCAUCUUGACACCACGACUCUGUCACUGCCUCUAUCCGGGUAUUCUGACUCCUGGGACCUUCUGUGUCCUCUAUUCAGAGGGACAGGAGGAUAGAUGUGAGGUCACCUCAGCACCUCCCCUCCUGUGCCAGACUGAGGAAGGUCCCUGGGUUCUCGUGGGCAUGGCUGUUCGAGGAAACCGGGAGCUGUUUGCAGCCAUUGGCCCUGAAGCUACAUGGAUAUCGCAAACCGUGGGAGAAGCCCAUUUUCUUCAUCUCGGUGGCUCCUCCUACUGGUCUCCUGAAGGCAGUGACCUCUGCCCCCAAGACUUAGCAGGGUCUGCUAGCUCCCCUAAGGUCACUGCUCUGCUUCUGCUCCUCCUCCUGGCUCCACUGAUCCCUCGCUGAGAGCCCGGCUCCUAUUCACACCACCCAUCAGGGCUGGAAUGUGGCUCAACCGGCCAGCUCCCGGGCCUGAAGAGGGCCUCUUCCACCUCUACUGCAUCAGCUUUCAGAUAAUUGGACCUCAGUGCUGGCUACUUUAAAUCUAAGAAUCCUUGGGGGUGGAGGAGGAACAGACAAUAAAAAUGUAAAUACAGA